GACGAACGCUGGCGGCGUGCUUAACACAUGCAAGUCGAACGGAAAGGCCCUGCUUGCAGGGUGCUCGAGUGGCGAACGGGCGAGUAACACGUGGGUGAUCUGCCCCUUACUUUGGGAUAAGCCUGGGAAACUGGGUCUAAUACUGGAUAGGACCAUGCUGUAGGUGGUGUGGUGGAAAGAUUAGUUUCGGUAAGGGAUGAGCUCGCGGCCUAUCAGCUUGUUGGUGGGGUAAUGGCCUACCAAGGCGUCGACGGGUAGCCGGCCUGAGAGGGUGGACGGCCACAUUGGGACUGAGAUACGGCCCAGACUCCUACGGGAGGCAGCAGUGGGGAAUAUUGCACAAUGGGCGCAAGCCUGAUGCAGCGACGCCGCGUGGGGGAUGACGGCCUUCGGGUUGUAAACUCCUUUCAGCCAUGACGAAGCCCUUGUGGUGACGGUAGUGGUAGAAGAAGCACCGGCUAACUACGUGCCAGCAGCCGCGGUAAUACGUAGGGUGCGAGCGUUGUCCGGAAUUACUGGGCGUAAAGAGCUCGUAGGUGGUCUGUCGCGUCAUUUGUGAAAGCCCGGGGCUUAACUCCGGGUUGGCAGGUGAUACGGGCAUGACUGGAGUACUGUAGGGGAGACUGGAAUUCCUGGUGUAGCGGUGAAAUGCGCAGAUAUCAGGAGGAACACCGGUGGCGAAGGCGGGUCUCUGGGCAGUAACUGACGCUGAGGAGCGAAAGCAUGGGUAGCGAACAGG
Molecule: ribosomal RNA, 739 nt
Filed under: uncultured Corynebacterium sp.
Lineage: Bacteria; Bacillati; Actinomycetota; Actinomycetes; Mycobacteriales; Corynebacteriaceae
Description: bacterial SSU rRNA
Rfam family: Bacterial small subunit ribosomal RNA
Source: RNAcentral